RNAcentral lists this ribosomal RNA (301 nucleotides) under uncultured bacterium. RNAcentral describes it as "partial 16S ribosomal RNA". It matches the Rfam family "Bacterial small subunit ribosomal RNA", at positions 509 to 807 of the family's 1533-position model. The record is from RNAcentral.
CAGUCGCCGCGGGAAUACAGAGGGUGCAAGCGUUAAUCGGAAUUACUGGGCGUAAAGCGCGCGUAGGUGGUUUGUUAAGUUGGAUGUGAAAUCCCCGGGCUCAACCUGGGAACUGCAUCCAAAACUGGCAGGCUAGAGUAGGGCAGAGGGUGGUGGAAUUUCCUGUGUAGCGGUGAAAUGCGUAGAUAUAGGAAGGAACACCAGUGGCGAAGGCGACCACCUGGGCUCAUACUGAUACUGAGGUGCGAAAGCGUGGGGAGCAAACAGGAUUAGAUACCCGUGUAGUCCCUGUCUCUUAUAC